GAUGAACGCUAGCGGCAGGCUUAAUACAUGCAAGUCGAGGGGCAGCGCGGGUAGCAAUACCUGGCGGCGACCGGCAAACGGGUGCGGAACACGUACGCAACCUUCCCAAAACUGGGGAAUAGCCCUCCGAAAGGAGGAUUAAUACCCCGUAACAUAACGAAGUGGCAUCACUUUGUUAUUAUAGUUCCGACGGUUUUGGAUGGGCGUGCGCCUGAUUAGGUAGUUGGCGGGGUAACGGCCCACCAAGCCUACGAUCAGUAACUGGUGUGAGAGCACGACCAGUCACACGGGCACUGAGACACGGGCCCGACUCCUACGGGAGGCAGCAGUAAGGAAUAUUGGUCAAUGGACGCAAGUCUGAACCAGCCAUGCCGCGUGAAGGAUGAAGGUCCUCUGGAUUGUAAACUUCUUUUAUAUGGGACGAAAAAGGGCAUUCUUGCUCACUUGACGGUACCAUAGGAAUAAGCACCGGCUAACUCCGUCGCCAGCAGCCGCGGUAA
This 500-nucleotide ribosomal RNA is filed under the name uncultured bacterium. RNAcentral's name for it is "bacterial SSU rRNA". It matches the Rfam family "Bacterial small subunit ribosomal RNA", at positions 28 to 523 of the family's 1533-position model. The record is from RNAcentral.